This 306-nucleotide long non-coding RNA is filed under the name Vigna radiata. RNAcentral describes it as "long non-coding RNA (VRAD_LNC008643)". The record is from RNAcentral. Lineage: Eukaryota; Viridiplantae; Streptophyta; Magnoliopsida; Fabales; Fabaceae.
AGAGAUAAAAAAGAAAAAAAAUAAUUGCAGACAUACUCAGUAGGCCUGGCCAACUCAUCUUACUGAAAAUAACUCUUAUAAGUUAAGAUCCAAACAUUAUACCUUGCCUCAUUUAGCACUGCUAACACUUGCUUCUGAAGUGUCAGUACUUCACCAGGUGCCUUUUUACUAUAGCCUCCACACCUAAACAUUGUCAUAGUUCAGACUUAGAUGUGGUUGAAUGCUAAAACAAACAACAUAAUAUGCUUCCAUAUAUAAAUUCAGCAUUCUUGCCUCAAUUUCAAAUCAUUAAUCAUUCAAUCCCCU